GCUCAAGGUUAAUGUAUGUUUAUCUGUAUGGCAAAUCUGAUCGCUAUGAAAUAUUGUGGGCUAUAGACGUGCCACAUAUACCUAUACAAAGAGAUGCGAAAAUGUGAAUUUAAGCUAAUCUCAAAAAGUAGGAUAAAAUAUGGAUUGUAGUCUGAAAUUCGACUACAUGAAUAAGGAAUUACUAGUAAUCGUGAAUCACCACGUCACGGUGGAUUUAAUCUC
Molecule: non-coding RNA, 222 nt
Filed under: Sclerotinia sclerotiorum 1980 UF-70
Lineage: Eukaryota; Fungi; Ascomycota; Leotiomycetes; Helotiales; Sclerotiniaceae
Description: Bacterial small subunit ribosomal RNA
Rfam family: Bacterial small subunit ribosomal RNA
Source: Rfam by way of RNAcentral